This 398-nucleotide ribosomal RNA is filed under the name uncultured bacterium. Its description in RNAcentral is "partial 16S ribosomal RNA". It matches the Rfam family "Bacterial small subunit ribosomal RNA", at positions 523 to 918 of the family's 1533-position model. The record is from RNAcentral.
AUACGUAGGGUGCGAGCGUUGUCCGGAAUUACUGGGCGUAAAGAGCUCGUAGGUGGUUUGUCGCGUCGUCUGUGAAAUUCCGGGGCUUAACUCCGGGCGUGCAGGCGAUACGGGCAUAACUUGAGUACUGUAGGGGAGACUGGAAUUCCUGGUGUAGCGGUGAAAUGCGCAGAUAUCAGGAGGAACACCGGUGGCGAAGGCGGGUCUCUGGGCAGUAACUGACGCUGAGGAGCGAAAGCAUGGGUAGCGAACAGGAUUAGAUACCCUGGUAGUCCAUGCCGUAAACGGUGGGCGCUAGGUGUAGGGGACUUCCACGACUUCUGUGCCGUAGCUAACGCAUUAAGCGCCCCGCCUGGGGAGUACGGCCGCAAGGCUAAAACUCAAAUGAAUUGACGGGG